Molecule: long non-coding RNA, 534 nt
Organism: Cyprinus carpio carpio
Lineage: Eukaryota; Metazoa; Chordata; Actinopteri; Cypriniformes; Cyprinidae
Source: Ensembl
GUUCUUUGUUUUAUUUCAGCCGAUACGGCGAGAGAGUUGGAGCGUUUGGGCGAGUACAGAGGAAAGAAGGCAGAGGAUAUUGUUGGCUGGGCAAAGACGGAGACAAGGGUUUGGCAGAAACAGACACCGGGCUGAGUAUAUUGGAAUGUCUACUUAACUGUGAAAUGCUCCAUGGACAUGUGUAACAAAUUCUGAGUGGUUGAAAACAGGAAGACUCACCGGAAGUAUCGCCGAAGGAGGCCUUUUCGACAGGGCACGUGGCAGCAGGAGAAGUAUCCAGGAGCUGGAAAGAAGAGGGAAAAGAGACCUCGUGUAGUAACGGUGUGAGUACCCUAAACCAUCGUACAGCAGUAUAAUCAUCUAGAGUGAACCAUCUGUGAGCGUUUUGUGAUUUGUGGCAUAGUAUGUGAGCGGCCCCACCGUGGAGGAGGAUUGUGGGUGAGCCGGGACCAGUGAGUGAGAGAGGAUGUUGGGCUGUUGUGGCGGCAACGUUUAAAUCUGAAUAUUCGUGGCAUCAGUGUCUUCACGACUCCC